RNAcentral lists this transfer RNA (92 nucleotides) under Candidatus Brocadiales bacterium. Its description in RNAcentral is "tRNA-Ser". It matches the Rfam family "tRNA". Rfam says of the family: Transfer RNA (tRNA) molecules are approximately 80 nucleotides in length. Their secondary structure includes four short double-helical elements and three loops (D, anti-codon, and T loops). The record is from RNAcentral. Lineage: Bacteria; Pseudomonadati; Planctomycetota; Candidatus Brocadiia; Candidatus Brocadiales.
GGGGCGAUGGCGAUGGGGCAAGUCGCGCUGGCCAAGAAAGCCAGUGCUUAACAAUAUACAAGCUAUCGGAGGUUCGAAUCCUUCUCGCUCCG